This 1115-nucleotide long non-coding RNA is filed under the name Homo sapiens (human). RNAcentral's name for it is "non-protein coding LINC02325:32". The record is from RNAcentral. Lineage: Eukaryota; Metazoa; Chordata; Mammalia; Primates; Hominidae.
CUUGCCGAGGACUUUGUCCACCAAGUGAUGAAAGCAUGCAAAUGCCUCCGAAUCAAAGAUGAGGAAAACAAAAGCUCAGAAACUAUCUUGGAGUCAGCAAGUAAGAAGGAGCUUAGAAAGGCUUAACAUUUUCCAUGCUUCUGCCUGGCUUCAGAGCCCAUGCACUCUGCCUUACCACGGCAGGUGAAAGAUGGCCCCAAAUUCUUAGGUACAUCUCCUGCCAAAAGACCCCUCCUAUGGGUUCUGUGACUACUUCAAUGAAAAGAAUAGGGCAGAAGAGAUGAUGAGAACUUAACAUCUGGCAGUGUCCAUUUCCUGUCUUUUGAAACUUUCUGUUAAAGGCCUGAGCCACGUAUGAAGUGUGAAUCUUCACACCAUGCAAGAGAAGCCACAUGUUAUUGCUCUGGUCAACAAUCCCAGCUGACCCAACCAGAUAGUGUAUCAGGCAUAUGAGUAAAGCAUUCUUAGAUUCUUCAGUCCAGCCCUUCACCAGCAGAACACCAUUCAGCAACCCUUGUCGGCAUCAUGUGGGACAGAAGAACCACCCAGCUGAGCCUUAUCCAAAUUCCUGACCACAAAAUCAUAAGAGAGAAUGACUUCUUUCAUAUCGCUGAAUGGAGCAACAUGUUUGGCCAAGUUCCUGUCCCAGGGAGGAGAACCUUCAGCUUGCAACAAGUCCUGGCCGUUGGAGAAACCAUGAGACUAGACCUUGUGUAAAGCAGCUGAUUCUGCCAUGGGGGAAAUGCCCUUUUGUUUACUGAGCUUCUCCCACCCAUGCCUUGCUCCACUUUCCUCUAGAAGCCUGAGAUAUUGGGAAUAAGAGUCUCAGCCUCCAAGAGAUGGAGAACAUAUCAAGAGAGUCUGGAUUUCUGGGGUGAUUAAGUUCACUUGAUUCAUUAGCCUAAGUGCUCAAGUAAAUUUCAAAUCACAGUGUUAUGUGUGAUUGUCCACGUCCUUCCUCCAAACACUCCCCACCUCCCACCCAAGGGCCCAUGUAACUUGCUAUUGAGAACCUUUGAUUUCUUAGGUAUUUGGGUGAUAGGGUUUUGUUGCCUCUCCUGAAGAAAAUAGUGGCAAUUUGUACUCAGCUGUGGAAUAAAGGAAAUCAUGACAUA